RNAcentral lists this ribosomal RNA (424 nucleotides) under uncultured bacterium. RNAcentral describes it as "bacterial SSU rRNA". It matches the Rfam family "Bacterial small subunit ribosomal RNA", at positions 917 to 1344 of the family's 1533-position model. The record is from RNAcentral.
GGGCCCGCACAAGCGGUGGAGCAUGUGGUUUAAUUCGAUGAUACGCGAGGAACCUUACCAGGGCUUAAAUGUAGUCUGACAGGGGUGGAAACACCCCCUCCUUCGGGCAGAUUACAAGGUGCUGCAUGGUUGUCGUCAGCUCGUGCCGUGAGGUGUCAGGUUAAGUCCUAUAACGAGCGCAACCCCUGCCGUUAGUUGCCAGCAUGUAAUGAUGGGAACUCUAACGGGACUGCCGGUGCAAACCGCGAGGAAGGUGGGGAUGACGUCAAAUCAUCACGGCCCUUACGUCCUGGGCUACACACGUGCUACAAUGGCCGGUACAGAGGGCAGCCACACCGCAAGGUGGAGCGAAUCCUUAAAACCGGUCUCAGUUCGGAUCGCAGUCUGCAACUCGACUGCGUGAAGCUGGAAUCGCUAGUAAUCG